ACUUGCAGAGCCAUCCUUCACUGAGACAGGAUUUGCUCUUCUUGCCCUCUUCUCCGGUUUCUCCCCUUGUGUGUAACUGGGGCUAUGUUCCAGCAUAACAGAGCAGGAGAUGCGCUCAGGCUGAGAAGGCAGAUGAAGGUACUACACCCUAAGGAGGCUGAACGACCUAACCAGCAAGUACCAGCUUGGGGACCGUGUUUGGGACUGGAGUAUAGGGACCGCAGGAGUUUGUGUGAACUUGCUACAAGGAUGGCUUCUAGAAGCAUGAAAGGAAGCUACGGCCCGUGCUCAGUGAGGUUGAAAUUGCUGGACCCCUGACAGAUGGCAGCUGAAGGCUAAACCGCUCAGGGAUUGUGAAGCUGGGAUACAUAUGAUGACUUUCUAAGGAUCAGAACUAUCAUGAUUGUGGAGGCCAAGUGGAGGCCUCUGUACCUGUUUCCAUCCCUGGUCAAAAUAAUACCGUUUGGAUUCACAUGGAGCAGACAACAGUAUGCAUUUCCCAUUGCUCCAGGGUUGUACCUUUCCAGUCUGUCAUAGUUCACGUACCACCUGGGUAUCUGAAGAACAUUGUGCCGAUUUGCUCCUCUGAUAGCUUGUCAAUGGAGUUAGAUUACAGGAAAUGUCUGGCACAUUGGAAGCCUUGGUAAGAAACGUGCAUUCCAUUGUUGGAGAAGAUGCCUGUGAAGAUUCGAUUAUCUGCCACAUGAGAACAAUUUUGAGUGCCCCAACAGUUGGGGACAUGCUGGGUCCUAUCAUCCAAAGUAAAACAUGAGUUAUACCACUUGAAUCUCCUGCAGAGAAGGAAGCACAAUGCCUGAGAGGACUUUUCAGGUUUUGGAGACAACAUAUUCCACAUCUCAGAACACUCUCUGCCUUGUAUACCAGGUGACACAAAAGACUGCCACUUAAAAAAAAAAAAGGUUUUAUUUGUUAAAGAAGGAGAGCACAGGGCAGGAGCAGAGGGAGAGGGAGAAGCAGGUUCCCUGCUGAGCACGGAUCCCAACACCGGGCACGAUCCCAGGACAUUGAGAUCACAACCUGAGCCAAAGUUCCCAAUGCAGGGCUUCCUUCUAGGACGUUGAGAUCACGACCUGACCAAAGUCAGACUCUUAACUGACUGAACCCAAAAAGACUUCGACUUUUGAGUGUAUCCCAGGAUAAGAAAGUUCUCUGCAGAGCAGCAGAGUCUAAGCUGCAGUUGAAAGCAGCCUUGUUACUUGGGCAUAAGACUGAGCAGAUCUCAGAAGAUUGGGUGUAUCAUGGGUAGGGAACGAUACCUUCCAGGAGUCUGGAGCAAACCCAUGCUGUCCACAGAGGUGGCUCGGAUAUGUUUCAUAAAGCCGUUCCUGUAAUGCUGCUGGGCCCUGGUGGAAGACCGUUGGACAUGACAUGACCGCAUGCCCAGAACUGCAUCUUGUGAGGUUGGUGGAGAUGAGUGGACAAGACCCUCUCAAUCUCUUGGAUCUUGCAGCACAGAGCCUGCGGAAUGAGAAGGCCUCAGCUGUACGUGACCUGGAAGAGCUCCCU
This is a long non-coding RNA of Canis lupus familiaris (dog), 1527 nucleotides long. RefSeq lists it as uncharacterized. The record is from RefSeq and is a predicted model, not a curated record. The transcript is spliced from 5 exons. Lineage: Eukaryota; Metazoa; Chordata; Mammalia; Carnivora; Canidae.